GACGAACGCUGGCGGCGUGCUUAACACAUGCAAGUCGAACGGAAAGGCCCUGCUUUUGUGGGUUGCUCGGGUGGCGAACGGGUGAGUACCACGUGAGUAACCUGCCCUUGACUUUGGGAUAACUUCAGGAAACUGGGGCUAAUACCGGAUAGGAGCUCCUGCUGCAUGGUGGGGGUUGGAAAGUUUCGGCGGUUGGGGAUGGACUCGCGGCUUAUCAGCUUGUUGGUGGGGUAGUGGCUUACCAAGGCUUUGACGGGUAGCCGGCCUGAGAGGGUGACCGGCCACAUUGGGACUGAGAUACGGCCCAGACUCCUACGGGAGGCAGCAGUGGGGAAUAUUGCACAAUGGGCGGAAGCCUGAUGCAGCAACGCCGCGUGCGGGAUGACGGCCUUCGGGUUGUAAACCGCUUUCGCCUGUGACGAAGCGUGAGUGACGGUAAUGGGUAAAGAAGCACCGGCUAACUACGUG
This 468-nucleotide ribosomal RNA is filed under the name uncultured bacterium. RNAcentral's name for it is "partial 16S ribosomal RNA". It matches the Rfam family "Bacterial small subunit ribosomal RNA", at positions 28 to 507 of the family's 1533-position model. The record is from RNAcentral.